UACGGUAGGGGGCAAGCGUUGUCCGGAUUUAUUGGGCGUAAAGAGCUCGUAGGCGGUUUGGUAAGUCUGGUGUGAAAUCUCCAGCGCCUCAACGUGGAGGGGCCACCCGAUACUGCCAUGACUGGAGUCCGGUAGAGGAGUGUGGAAUUCCCGAUGAUAGCGGUGAAAUGCGCAGAUAAUCGGGAGGAACACCAAUGGCGAAGGCAGCUCGCUGGGACGGUACGUGAACGCGUGGAGA
RNAcentral lists this ribosomal RNA (238 nucleotides) under uncultured bacterium. RNAcentral's name for it is "partial 16S ribosomal RNA". It matches the Rfam family "Bacterial small subunit ribosomal RNA", at positions 524 to 752 of the family's 1533-position model. The record is from RNAcentral.